UACGAAGGGGCUAGCGUUGUUCGGAUUUACUGGGCGUAAAGCGCACGUAGGCGGUUUGUUAAGUCAGAGGUGAAAAUCCCGGGAGCUCAACUCCGGAACUGCCUUUGAUACUGGCAAGCUAGAGUCCGGAAGAGGUAAGUGGAACUCCUAGUGUAGAGGUGGAAUUCGUAGAUAUUAGGAAGAACACCAGUGGCGAAGGCGACUUACUGGACACAUAUUGACGCUGAGGUGCGAAAGCGUGGGGGAGCAAACAGG
This 255-nucleotide ribosomal RNA is filed under the name uncultured bacterium. RNAcentral's name for it is "partial 16S ribosomal RNA". It matches the Rfam family "Bacterial small subunit ribosomal RNA", at positions 524 to 776 of the family's 1533-position model. The record is from RNAcentral.